GACGAACGCUGGCGGCGUGCUUAACACAUGCAAGUCGAACGGAAAGGCCCUGCUUUUGUGGGGUGCUCGAGUGGCGAACGGGUGAGUAACACGUGAGUAACCUGCCCUUGACUUUGGGAUAACUUCAGGAAACGGGGGCUAAUACCGGAUAGGAGCUCCUGCUGCAUGGUGGGGGUUGGAAAGUCUCGGCGGUUGGGGUUGGACUCGCGGCUUAUCAGCUUGUUGGUGGGGUAGUGGCUUACCAAGGCUUGGACGGGUAGCCGGCCUGAGAGGGUGACCGGCCACAUUGGGACUGAGAGACGGCCCAGACUCCUACGGGAGGCAGCAGUGGGGAAUAUUGCACAAUGGGCGGAAGCCUGAUGCAGCAACGCCGCGUGCGGGAUGACGGCCUUCGGGUUGUAAACCGCUUUCGCCUGUGACGAAGCGUGAGUGACGGUAAUGGGUAAAGAAGCACCGGCUAACUACGUG
This 468-nucleotide ribosomal RNA is filed under the name uncultured bacterium. RNAcentral describes it as "partial 16S ribosomal RNA". It matches the Rfam family "Bacterial small subunit ribosomal RNA", at positions 28 to 507 of the family's 1533-position model. The record is from RNAcentral.